Non-coding RNA from Rhinichthys klamathensis goyatoka, 497 nucleotides. NCBI's taxonomy places the organism in Eukaryota, Metazoa, Chordata, Actinopteri, Cypriniformes, Leuciscidae. The record is from the annotation of a RefSeq genome assembly.
AUGACUUUAUCUGAUUUGUUUGUUUAUAAAAGAGCAAACUGGUUAUUGUCAGUGUCAGUUUUAGUGCAGGAGGUUUUUGUACAGCCGCUCAUUGGGUUUGCAUCACUGUGGCGCACAUUCGGUGGAGGAACACGACUCUCAGUUGGCACUGGCACUCGCCCCACUCUCACGGUCCUGCCUCCCUCCAGAGGCGAGCUGCAGCAGGGUAAGGCUACAGUGCUGUGUUUGGGCAGUAAGGGAUUCCCCUCUGACUGGAAGCUGAGCUGGAAGGUGGAUGGCAGUAGCAGGAGCUCUGCUGUGAAUCUGAGUCCCAGUGUUCUGCAGAAGGAUGGACUGUACAGCUGGAGCAGCAGCCUGAGUCUCACUGAGAGUGAGUGGAGCCGAGCAAAAACCAUCAGCUGUGACGCCACACACACAUCCCAGAAUGCAGUGACCCAGAGCCUGAACACACAGCUGUGUGAUGAUGACCAGUGAAACACACACACAUAUCACACAAA